This 253-nucleotide ribosomal RNA is filed under the name uncultured bacterium. RNAcentral's name for it is "partial 16S ribosomal RNA". It matches the Rfam family "Bacterial small subunit ribosomal RNA", at positions 524 to 776 of the family's 1533-position model. The record is from RNAcentral.
UACGGGGGGAGCAAGCGUUGUUCGGAUUUACUGGGCGUAAAGGGCGCGUAGGCGGCGCAACAAGUCACUUGUGAAAUCUCCGGGCUUAACCCGGAGCGGCCAAGUGAUACUGUCGUGCUAGAGUGCGGAAGGGGCUACUGGAAUUCUCGGUGUAGCGGUGAAAUGCGCAGAUAUCAGGUGGAACACCCGUAGCGAAGGCGGCAUUCUGGGCCGAUACUGACGCUGAGGAGCGAAAGCGUGGGGAGCGAACAGG